UUGGAGGGCAAGUCUGGUGCCAGCAGCCGCGGUAAUUCCAGCUCCAAUAGCGUAUAUUAAAGUUGUUGCAGUUAAAAAGCUCGUAGUUGAAUUUCGGGGUUCUACCGUUGGUCGGGCUAUUGUCUGUACUGGCGUGUAGAAUUUCUACCUUCUGGGGAACUAUCAUGUUAUUAAUUUAGCGUGGUAGGAAACCAGGACCUUUACCUUGAAAAAAUUAGAGUGUUCAAAGCAGGCUUAUGUCUGAAUACAUUAGCAUGGAAUAAUAAAAUAGGACGGUGGUCCUGUUUUGUUGGUUUCUGAAUCACCGUAAUGAUUAAUAGGGAUAGUUGGGGGCAUUAGUAUUCAAUUGUCAGAGGUGAAAUUCUUGGAUUUAUUGAAGACUAACUACUGCGAAAGCAUUUGCCAAGGAUGUUUUCAUUAAUCAAGAACGAAAGUUAGGGGAUCGAAGACGAUCAGAUACCGUCGUAGUCUUAACCAUAAACUAUGCCGACUAGGGAUCGGACGAUGUUAAUUUUUCUUGACUCGUUCGGCGCCUUACGGGAAAC
This 545-nucleotide ribosomal RNA is filed under the name uncultured Gigasporaceae. RNAcentral's name for it is "SSU rRNA". It matches the Rfam family "Eukaryotic small subunit ribosomal RNA", at positions 548 to 1098 of the family's 1831-position model. The record is from RNAcentral. Lineage: Eukaryota; Fungi; Glomeromycota; Glomeromycetes; Diversisporales; Gigasporaceae.